GGUGUGCUGCUCAGAACCAAACCAGCCUGCCCUCCCCGGGAGCCAGCAUCAGGGUGACAGCGAUGAGACAAGACUGCGAUCUCCUGACCAGGAAUCCGAACAUGGUGGUGGCCUGUGGAUGACCUCGGGGGGACCAGGACCCCCUCCCCCAACUUGAUCAAUACUCUGCAUCUGAGCCUUCUUCCCAAGAGAAGUUUCAGCAUGUUUACCAGAUUUUCAGAGACGGGCUCCUUCUCUCGAGCUGCAUCAGUGAAGUCCCAAGGUCCUCCCAGCAGCCCUUCAAGAGUCCCAGUAUCCUCCCGUGUAACCUGAGAAUAGCGAUGAUGAGGAGCUGAUGCCCUUGCUGGGAGGAUUCAUGGUGAGAGCAGAGGCAGAGAACUCGGCUCAGGCCAGUGUAA
Molecule: long non-coding RNA, 398 nt
Organism: Mesoplodon densirostris (Blainville's beaked whale)
Lineage: Eukaryota; Metazoa; Chordata; Mammalia; Artiodactyla; Ziphiidae
Exons: 3
Source: RefSeq, a predicted model, not a curated record